This 2145-nucleotide long non-coding RNA is filed under the name Brachypodium distachyon (stiff brome). RNAcentral describes it as "long non-coding RNA (BDIS_LNC000620)". The record is from RNAcentral. Lineage: Eukaryota; Viridiplantae; Streptophyta; Magnoliopsida; Poales; Poaceae.
AACGGGCAUGCGAGGAUGGAGGAACGUUUCCAUGUCAAGGUGCCAGCCCCGGUGCCGGCGCUGGUGACGGUGAGGUCGGCAUAGCUGGAGACAGGUGAUGUGCCGCCGUCCUGACGACGCCGCACAUGACGGCGUCCCUGGGCACUUUGAGGUCACGCAUCCGAUCGACGCCCUCGACGAAGACGGCGCCCAUGCCCAUGUGGAGGUGCGGCUCGAUGUGGCAGUGGAACGCCCAUGCCCCCGUGUUGUUUGCCACGAACCUGAGCGCCGUCCACCCGUGCGGGAACACCACGACCGUGUUCCGUAGCGGCGGGUCGGCCGUGUUGAGCUGCUCCUCCUUCCCGGUGUACCGCCCUUCCCCGUAGCCCAGCACCCAGAAGUCGUGCCCGUGGAGGUGCCACGGGUGGGUCUCGCUGUCGUUGUCCCUCCUCAUGUCCGCGUUCUGCAGCACCACGUCCACCACGGCCCCGUGCGCCACCUCGUACACCCGGUCGCUCAGCUUCGUCUCGUACCCGUUCUGCUCCGGCGGCUUCUCCACGUCGUACUCCUCCGGGAACCCCUCCGGCGCCUGCUCCGACGCGUCGAACGCGCUGCCCUGGAGCCCGUAGUAGUACGCCCCGAGGUACGGCGUGGCGGGGAGCGCCAGGGACACGUUGUUGACGGACCAUUUCACGUGCCCGCCCACCAGGGCCUGCGUGUUGAGCAUCACGAUCGUCCUGUAAGCCUUCGGCGGCGGCGGUUCGUUGGUCUCGUUCCGGGCUUUGAUCUUGUAGGUGAAGUCCUUGCUCCGCUUCAGGUCGUCCCACGCGGGAGUCUCCGGAGGCGAGGCGAAACGGCCCGUCGGCCAUUCGGAUCUGCUGUUGGUGUAGUUUAGCAAGGCCGUGGCCGGGAGCGUCUUGGGCUCCCGUCCUCUGACGCCCACGGAGAUCCAGUAGGAGGAUGGGUUCUUGUCCGUCUUGAGGAGCACGGAGUAGCUCUCGCCGGAGUAGAUGUCGAGGUCCUUCACCGCGAACGGCUCCACGUGGUUGCCGUCCGCCUCCACCACCACCAGCUCAUGCUGUCAAAACACAGUUUUUUUUUGUUAAUUACUGGAGAGUGACAAGCUAGCUAGGAGUAUUUGCCAACGUAUCGAAAGAUGACUUUUGUUCGUUCGUUCGUUCGUUCGUAAUCGUACCCCUUGGACCUGCACGUUGAGAGCGGAGAGCGUGGUGGUGCUGGCGAUCCUGAGCCUGUAGGUCUUCCCUGGCUCCACGGCGAAGACGACGGGGGCGCACUGGCUCCGGGGGCAGUGCGGCCCGCACUCGCUUCGCCUCUCGCACUUGUCCACGUCGCGGCACGGCUGAUUCCACCAGAACCAGAAGGAGCCCGGCCGGUCGCAGGUCUUGGCUUUCCGGCCUGUGGGUAUGGCCCCGUGGUAACGGCUCACGGACCCCAGCAUGCACUCGUACUGCCCCCUCCCGUUGAUCAGGAUCGUCUGCAAAACAACGCGUGAUUUCCCAUCUUAAACACCUCUAUCAAUUAGUAGUAAUUUCUUCGUGUCCACCGUCAUUCUUAAGUUGGUAUACCUGAGGCUCGCCGAUCCACUGGAAGUGCUUGUCCUUGAGGUCAAGUCCCGCGGACUGCGCGUACACGUUCUCGUGGUACCAGUCGCUGAGGAGCAUGUUGAGCUCGCCGUCGUAGUCCUUCCGGUACGGCUCCCCUUGCUCCUCCGUGGCGUCCACGAUCAGCGACCCGUACAGCCCCGCCGCCCUCUGCAUCCCAAAGUGCCCGUGGUAGAAGUACGUCCCAGGCUGCAGCACACAUCAUUCUUUCCAUCAGCUGCCCCAAGUUAAUUAAAUUCUCGUGAAGUACUAAAUUGGUGUUAUUAAGAGUAUGUACCUUGUCGGCGACGAACUCGUAGGUGAAGGUCUCCCCGGCGGUGAUGGCGCACUGGGAUAUUGACGCCGUCCCGUCCGCCCACGGUGUACCGAACUGCGAAUAUGCAUGUUCAUUCAUUUCUUAAGGCAGAGCGAAAUACUUACUACGCUGAUCAACCGGGUUUGCUGACGUACCUGUCUCAUUCCGUGCCAGUGGAUGACGAGCCCCUCGGUGUGCAGCUUGUUCCGGACGGUGACGCUGACGAUGUCGCCGGCGCGGGCUCGGAUG